This 37-nucleotide small RNA is filed under the name Arabidopsis thaliana (thale cress). RNAcentral's name for it is "ATSL015600". Lineage: Eukaryota; Viridiplantae; Streptophyta; Magnoliopsida; Brassicales; Brassicaceae. The record is from RNAcentral.
AAAUUACAGUGGACGAGAGGAAGGAGAAGAAGAAAGG